Long non-coding RNA from Dicentrarchus labrax (European seabass), 404 nucleotides. RefSeq lists it as uncharacterized. The record is from RefSeq and is a predicted model, not a curated record. Lineage: Eukaryota; Metazoa; Chordata; Actinopteri; Moronidae. The transcript has 4 exons.
AGAAAUCACAAGCUUUUGGUUGGUGCUAAAGCAGAAAUCACAAGCUUUUAGUUGGUGCUAAAGCAGAAAUCACAAGCUUUUGGUUGGUGCUAAAGCAGAAAUCACAAGCUUUAGAUUGGUGCUAAAGCAGAAAUCACAAGCUGUUGGUUGGUGCUAAAGCAGAAAUCACAAGCUUUUAGUUGGUGCUAAAGCAGAAAUCACAAGCUUUAGGUUGGUGCUAAAGCAGAAAUCACAAGCUUUUGAUUGGUGCUAAAGCAGAAAUCACAAGCUUUAGGUUGGUGCUAAAGCAGAAAUCACAAGCUUUUGGUUGGUGCUAAAGCAGAAAUCACAAGCUUUUGGUUGGUGCUAAAGCAGAAAUCACAAGCUGUUGGUUGGUGCUAAAGCAGAAAUCACAAGCUGUUGGU